GUGGUGUAGUCUACGUGAUACGCAGGUAUACGCAGUAUACCCACUAAGAAAGCUCCAGGAUUUCCAUAUACCCACUUAAAAAUGUGCAAUGAUAUGCAACAACAUAGUUUUGUGAAAGAACUUUCACUUCAGAUAUUUGUAUUCCCAAAUACGGGGUCGAGUAAUCUCUCAUGUCAAGA
This is a long non-coding RNA of Sander lucioperca (pikeperch), 179 nucleotides long. RefSeq lists it as uncharacterized. The transcript has 3 exons. The record is from RefSeq and is a predicted model, not a curated record. NCBI's taxonomy places the organism in Eukaryota, Metazoa, Chordata, Actinopteri, Perciformes, Percidae.